This 460-nucleotide ribosomal RNA is filed under the name uncultured bacterium. RNAcentral describes it as "bacterial SSU rRNA". It matches the Rfam family "Bacterial small subunit ribosomal RNA", at positions 340 to 793 of the family's 1533-position model. The record is from RNAcentral.
UACGGGAGGCAGCAGUGGGGAAUAUUGCACAAUGGGGGAAACCCUGAUGCAGCCAUGCCGCGUGUGUGAAGAAGGCCUUCGGGUUGUAAAGCACUUUCAGUAGGGAGGAAGGUAGUGUAGUUAACACCUGCACUAUUUGACGUUACCUACAGAAGAAGCACCGGCUAACUCCGUGCCAGCAGCCGCGGUAAUACGGAGGGUGCGAGCGUUAAUCGGAAUUACUGGGCGUAAAGCGCAUGCAGGCGGCCUGUUAAGUCAGAUGUGAAAGCCCGGGGCUCAACCUCGGAAUUGCAUUUGAAACUGGCAGACUAGAGUACUGUAGAGGGGGUAGAAUUUCAGGUGUAGCGGUGAAAUGCGUAGAGAUCUGAAGGAAUACCGGUGGCGAAGGCGGCCCCCUGGACAGAUACUGACACUCAGAUGCGAAAGCGUGGGGAGCAAACAGGAUUAGAUACCCUGGUAG